UCCUACGGGAGGCAGCAGUAGGGAAUCUUCCACAAUGGACGCAGGUCUGAUGGAGCAAUGCCGCGUGAGUGAAGAAGGGUUUCGGCUCGUAAAACUCUGUUGUUGAAGAAGAACGGGUGUCAGAGUAACUGUUGACAUCGUGAUGGUAUUCAACCAGAAAGCCACGGCUAACUACGUGCCAGCAGCCGCGGUAAUA
This 196-nucleotide ribosomal RNA is filed under the name uncultured Lactobacillus sp. RNAcentral describes it as "partial 16S ribosomal RNA". It matches the Rfam family "Bacterial small subunit ribosomal RNA", at positions 337 to 525 of the family's 1533-position model. The record is from RNAcentral. Lineage: Bacteria; Bacillati; Bacillota; Bacilli; Lactobacillales; Lactobacillaceae.